Molecule: ribosomal RNA, 441 nt
Filed under: uncultured bacterium
Lineage: Bacteria
Description: partial 16S ribosomal RNA
Rfam family: Bacterial small subunit ribosomal RNA
Source: RNAcentral
CCUACGGGGAGCAGCAGUCGGGAAUAUUGCGCAAUGGAGGCAACCCUGACGCAGUGACGCCGCGUGCAGGAAGAAGGCUUUCGGAUUGUAAACUGCUUUUGACAGGGACGAAACAAGACAGUAUCUGUAGUAUAAGCUCCGGCUAACUACGCGUCAGCAGCCGCGGUAAUACGUAGGGAGCAAGCGUUAUCCGGAUUUAUUGGGUGUAAAGGGUGCGUAGACGGAGAAGCAAGUUAGAUGUGAAAUCCCUGGGCUUAACUGCGGAACUGCAACUAAAACUACUUCCCUUGAGUACUGGAGAGGAAGGUGGAAUUCCUAGUGUAGCGGUGAAAUGCGUAGAUAUUAGGAGGAACACCAGUGGCGAAGGCGACUUUCUGGACAGUAACUGACGUUGAGGCGCGAAAGUGUGGGGAGCAAACAGGAUUAGAUACCCCAGUAGUC